RNAcentral lists this ribosomal RNA (513 nucleotides) under Triticum aestivum (bread wheat). RNAcentral's name for it is "partial small subunit ribosomal RNA". Lineage: Eukaryota; Viridiplantae; Streptophyta; Magnoliopsida; Poales; Poaceae. The record is from RNAcentral.
AUGGUUUCUCUUGAGAGUUUGUGCUGGUGCCGCAGCAGAAAACACAUGACCAUGAAGACAUUAUUGGCAUUAGGAAGACUUUGUUGUAUACGUAUGCAACUAGCGACGUGUUUGAUGUUGACUUCCGGGGUUUGUUUGGCAUCGAACCCUGUGAGUGGUUGGAUCUUGGUGAGCAUGACUAUAGGAUCUUUGGGAGCCAGUUCUCGGAGCUUGAGCGUGCGGUUGGGAGCUCUGAAAGGUUCUACGGCUGCUUGUCCAGAGAGCCCCUCUAAACCCAAGAAUCCCAUUGUGGAAUUGAUAGACAGUGAUGAUGAUGCGUUUGACAAGAUUGCUGGCGUGGGAAGAGUCACCAGGAGUGCUGCUGCCAAGGGUGUAUCUCCCCAUGGUGGAAUAGUGGCCCGUAGAGCUAGUGCUGCUAGGAAGGAUCCUGCUUUGGAUUCUGGUAGUGUUGUAAGCACGAAGCGUGGGCCCAGAGCUCCUAUAAAGUUUUUCUCCCCUAUGCAGCAUCUUUAG